This is a long non-coding RNA of Populus euphratica (Euphrates poplar), 967 nucleotides long. RefSeq lists it as uncharacterized. The record is from RefSeq and is a predicted model, not a curated record. NCBI's taxonomy places the organism in Eukaryota, Viridiplantae, Streptophyta, Magnoliopsida, Malpighiales, Salicaceae. The transcript is spliced from 2 exons.
GUGGGCUCUCCUUCUAUUCUCAGGAGGAAACUAUGUCCAAUGGAAUAGGUAACUUGGAAAUUGGAUAGGAUUAUCCUUUUCAUCUCUACCCCAUAUGAAUGCUCAUGAAAUCAAAGCCAUAAAUAGAGCCUAAUAUACUAUAAAUUCAAGAAGGUGAAGAGGGAAGGAAGGCUAGGUCCUUUGUCACAUAGAAAUUUUCAGUUUAGGUUUUUUUGUUUUUCCUAGUCAUGAUAGUACCAUAAGAGAUAGUCUUUGUAUUCCUUUCUUUCUUGCCCUACUUUUCUUGCACUUCUUUCCUCUCUUUGUCACUCUUUACUUCUCUUCACUAGCAAGGUAUCUCAAAUUCCUUUGCUAUUGCUUUACCCCCUCCGUAGCGUUUCUCCAUAUAAAAUCAAGUUAUUUCAUUAGAGGCCAUUGUCUCCAAGAAUAACAUAGAAGAAUGGCAAUGGGUGCAAUGUCUGUGACAGUAACAGUUGUUGCUGCUGCAGCUGGGAUUUGUUUCUUCGACAAAAGCCACUCCAAAGCUCAGGAGCUGAGAAGCAGAAUGAGAUCAUCUAGUGAAAACAUGGUGGCAAAAGUGAAGAAGACCAGUGAGAUGCCAAAAUUAGCACCCCAACUGGAUGGAUUAAACUGUUUUGAAACAUUAAUAUGUCAUUGAUUCUGCUUGCUCUCCGUGGUUAAUUAUCUCCAACACUGCCUUGCAGAGGUUGUUAUUAAUGAUAAACCAUGGACAUAUCCUUCUUUAUCCAAAACAUUACUUAAUGCUUCUGUUGUCGCUAGUCAUGCAUUGCAUUGAUUAGACAUUACUAAGGCAAAAUGCUACAAUUUUUAGUCUAAACUUUUUCUGAUUAUGAUCUAUUUGUUAAUUCCUAUGGCAUGAAAUGAAAGAGGUUGAAUUGGAGGAAAUCAGGAGAGGGAUGUCUCCUAUGAAACUUCUCAUUCUAUUAAGAUUAGAUAUUGUACUUGA